This 63-nucleotide transfer RNA is filed under the name Rattus norvegicus (Norway rat). It matches the Rfam family "tRNA", at positions 1 to 62 of the family's 71-position model. From Rfam's summary of the family: Transfer RNA (tRNA) molecules are approximately 80 nucleotides in length. Lineage: Eukaryota; Metazoa; Chordata; Mammalia; Rodentia; Muridae. The record is from Rfam by way of RNAcentral.
GGGGAUUUGGCUCAGUGGUAGAGCGUUUGCCUAGCAAGCGCAAGGCCCUGGGUUCAGUCCCCA